Molecule: non-coding RNA, 24 nt
Filed under: Rattus norvegicus (Norway rat)
Lineage: Eukaryota; Metazoa; Chordata; Mammalia; Rodentia; Muridae
Source: RNAcentral
UACCACAAGGCAACUUGUGUGUGU